Molecule: non-coding RNA, 28 nt
Filed under: Rattus norvegicus (Norway rat)
Lineage: Eukaryota; Metazoa; Chordata; Mammalia; Rodentia; Muridae
Source: RNAcentral
UUGGAUGUUCUAGACAAACCACUCCUGC